CUCUCUCUCUCCAUUUUAGGUAUGAAUCAUGUCAGUACAGUGAAAGAUGAAGAUACGCAUUUCUGAAGUAGGAGUGUGCAUAUGAUUAAAGGAUUUGAUCAGAGGACUCUGAACUGUAGUUCCUUCCUGCUCCAGGAGGGAUACCUGAGGUACCAAAGCUCUGAAGAACAGCAGUGAGGAACUCAAUGAUAGCUGCUCUCUCUCAGAGCCUUCCAUCAAAAGACAACAUUCUCCCCAAAGAAAGGACUGAUUCUUUUUGAAGCCUAGCCAGCAGGGGGCCAGACUCCUGCCUGCUGCCUAACCACACGGAUCUACACUUCAGCACCCUUGCGCCCCAGCCAGCCCUUCCUCCACCCAACACCACAACCUGGAGCCUGGGGCUGACCCUCCCGUGCCCCCUGCCGGCCUGGGCCUGCACCCUGGACACCGGGCCACACCGCUACCACCAGCCACAGCCCUACGCCACUGAGCCUGCUGCUGACCACUGCCACCUGCCAGAGGCUCCCUGAACCCGCUGCCACCCACCGAGCCUGCUCUCAGCCGCCACCAUGUCGGGCCCCCCACCCUUUGACACCCAGGGACGGGGGCCCAACUGGACACACGAGGAGACCUCCGACCUCAUUGCCAUCUGGGGGGACAUCAGCGUCCAGCAGCAGUUUGCCCGUGCUACCAGGGCCAACGCCCACGUGUUCCAGGAGAUGUCCUGGCGGAUGCAGGAGCGUGGUCACCGGCGGUCCGGCCACCAGUGCCGGGUGAAGGCCAAGGCCCUGAGGGCGCAAUUUGUCCGCGUCCAGGACCAUAAUAGGCAGCCUGGGGCUGCCCCCAGAACCAUGCCCUUUCUCCGUGAGCUCGAGAGGAUCCUGGCCCCCACAGGCCCUACUGAGGCCCCUCCCGUGUUCUGUAGCACGGGCGGACUUGAGGAGCCUGUGCCAGGGGCUGCGGGUCAGGAGGACUCUCCAGGGGAGGGCACCUCGUGGCUCCCUCACCAGGUCCCAGCACGCUCCCCGCCCUCAGCCUCACCCGGCAGCUCAGACAGCCCGGGCCACCACUUG
This is a long non-coding RNA of Alligator sinensis (Chinese alligator), 1052 nucleotides long. RefSeq lists it as uncharacterized. The transcript has 3 exons. The record is from RefSeq and is a predicted model, not a curated record. Lineage: Eukaryota; Metazoa; Chordata; Crocodylia; Alligatoridae.